CUUACAUCUCUUCGGAGCAUUUUACGAGGUGCUGCAUGGUUGUCGUCAGCUCGUGCCGUGAGGUGUCGGGUUAAGUCCCAUAACGAGCGCAACCCCUACCUUAGUUGCCAUCAGGUUAAGCUGGGGACUCUAAAGGAACUGCCUACGCAAGUAGUGAGGAAGCGGGGAGUGACGUCAAAUCAGCACGGCCCUUACGUCCAGGGCUACACACGUGCUACAAUGGCCGAUACAGAGGGCAGCUACCUGGUGACAGGAUGCAAAUACUCCAAAGUCGGUCUCAGUUCGGAUCGGAGUCUGCAACCCGACUCCGUGAAGUUGGAUUCGCUAGUAAUCGCGCAUCAGCCAUGGCGCGGUGAAUACGUUCCCGGGCCUU
This 373-nucleotide ribosomal RNA is filed under the name uncultured Sphingobacteriales bacterium. RNAcentral describes it as "bacterial SSU rRNA". It matches the Rfam family "Bacterial small subunit ribosomal RNA", at positions 1008 to 1382 of the family's 1533-position model. Lineage: Bacteria; Pseudomonadati; Bacteroidota; Sphingobacteriia; Sphingobacteriales. The record is from RNAcentral.